This is a long non-coding RNA of Onychostoma macrolepis, 1416 nucleotides long. RefSeq lists it as uncharacterized. The record is from RefSeq and is a predicted model, not a curated record. NCBI's taxonomy places the organism in Eukaryota, Metazoa, Chordata, Actinopteri, Cypriniformes, Cyprinidae. The transcript has 4 exons.
CUUCGAGCUCACUGUUGUUUUGGAGCAUGAGGCAGUUAUUGGUGGAUUCAUAAAACAUGAACUUGCCCACCACACCAACUACUCGAAGCUUUUGAGCCUGGCUGAGCUUUCAGGGUGUGACUACUUCAGGAAAUUAAAGAUUGAUCAGAGGAAUAAAUAUACGUCUCAUCGCAUUAUUGAUGAUAUGCUGGAGAUCUUAGCAGAAGUCAUUGAGGAGCCAAUUCUCGGUGAUAUCAAAUCAUCACAGGCAAUUAGUCUUGAAGCUAAUGAGACCACAGAUGUGUCAGUGUCUAGGCAACUUGAUUUGCAUGUCUGAUACCUGGACAAAGAAGGAAAUGUGUUCAAUCAGUUCCUGGACUUGGUCACUGUUCCUGAUGGCAAAGCAGACACUAUUGUGACAGCCAUCGAGAACAUAAUUUUGAAGAAGGACAUACCAACAGAGAAACUCUAUGGACUCGGGACUGACGGGGCAGCUGUUAUGACGGGCCGUGUGAAUGGGGUUGUGAAGCAACAAUUUUCCAAAGAUUGUGGCUGUGGCUCGUGCUGCCUGCAAGGACUCAUCAAAUGAUGUAAGAUACAUGGCCACUUUCAGGGAGCACCUUCAAGAACUUUAUUUAUAUUUCAGAAACAGUGCACGUCGUACAGCAACACUCAAUGCAGCAUCCUCUGGGUGUCAGUGACUUGAAAAUAAAGGUAGUAGUAAUUUAAAACCAUUGUAGUUAUCUUUUCCCUGUUUACUAAUCAUUAUGCCUAAGGUAGUAAUGUACAGAAAUGUGAUACCUUAACUCUUUCCCCACCAGCGUUUUUGAAAAAGUUGCCAGCCACCGAAAGGAGUGAAAUUAUUUCCUUUAUGAAAUUAAUUCCUCAUGAGGCCAAAACUCAGGAACUCUCGCAAAACUGAUGCCAUGCAAUAAAACCAUAAAACUAAUCUGGAGAAGAGAUCUCCAAAGACAACAAACAGCACCUCUCCCCUUGUUCAUUUACGACCCCCUUCUCCUCUCUGCAUCUCCCUCUCUUCCCCCCAAAAGUUUUCACUCAAAGUUCAUUAAGAAUAUGUAUAUCCCACAUAUCAUGAAUCCUGUGAACCUGUUGUUUUUCCCCCUUCAUGUUUGGUAUCAUUUUAAAGGGGUGGUUUACUGCGAUUUCACUUUUUUCAUUUUAAAUAGUGUGUAAUGUUGCUGUUGGUGCAUGAACAGUAUCUGCAAAGUUGCUGCGCUGAAAGUUCAACGUAAGUGGAGAUAUUAAAAAUCAGGAAGUUUAAUGCCUACAAAAACGACUCAUAUGGGACUACAACGAGAUACUUCCCGGGUUGCAUAUGUAACAAACCCAUAAAUUUGCAUCAACCCCUCCCUCCGGAACAUGCCAAAGAGAGGGCAAGGCCAUGUUCUGCGGCUUUGUCGAAGAGGAAGAGUUAUA